GGGACCCACCAGCUUGUCUGCCGCCAUCUGGGUUUUUUGAGAUGAAGUCUCGUUCUUGUCCCCCAGGCUGGAGUGCAAUGGCAUGAUCUCAGCUCACUGCAACCUCUGCCUCCCGGGUUCAAGCAAUUCUCCUGUCUCAGCCUCCUGAGUAGCUGGAUUACAGAGUCUUUUCUAAGGCACCAACUACUUCCUUCAAGCAGCAGCCAGAGAUCUUUGCUUAAUGGCUGAGAAACACAGAGGAGAGACCCAGAGAGAAGGAGAAGGCCGCAUGAAGAUGGAGCAGAGACUGGAGUUAUUCAGCCAAGUCAAGGAAUGCCUGGAGCACCAGAAGCCGGAAGAGGCAAGGAAGGAUCCUCCCUUAGAGCAUUUGGAAGAGUGUGGCCCUGCCAACACCUUGACUUCAAACUUCUGGCCUCCAUAACUAUGAAAUAAAUUCUUGUUGUUUUAAGCCACCAA
This 456-nucleotide long non-coding RNA is filed under the name Homo sapiens (human). Its description in RNAcentral is "HSALNT0292957". Lineage: Eukaryota; Metazoa; Chordata; Mammalia; Primates; Hominidae. The record is from RNAcentral.